Molecule: long non-coding RNA, 610 nt
Filed under: Gossypium barbadense (sea-island cotton)
Lineage: Eukaryota; Viridiplantae; Streptophyta; Magnoliopsida; Malvales; Malvaceae
Description: long non-coding RNA (GBAR_LNC020955)
Source: RNAcentral
AAGAAGGUCAUAUAGCACCAAAUUGUCCUAAUAAAGGAAAAGGUGUAAGAAAAAUGAUUAAAACACCUUAAGAAUAAGAUUUAGAAAUAUGUUUAGAAGAGGAAAUAAAUCAUGAGAAAAUAUUAUAAGAAUUAAUAUCAGAAACGGAUUCUGAUACAAAUGAUGAAAAAUAUAUAUUUAUGUUUAAUAUAGGAAGCAGUUUUAAUAAUUAGUUAGAAGAAAUUCCCAAGAAUGAACAACAAGACAUAAAAUUAAGAAAUAUAAUCGGAGAAGAAAAAGAGUUUUCUGAUGAAAUGAUAGAAAAAUUAAUAAAAAUCAUAUUUCUAAAGAAGAAAUUUAUAAAAUAUCUAAAUAUAAGAUAUGGUGUCAAAGACAUAUAGAAAAAAGUGGUAAUACAGUUCCCAAAGACACUAGAGGUGGAUUAACAAAAAUCCCAUUAUUUAAUAAAGAUAAAAUUAAGAGGAUUAAAAAGAAAUAUCCCCAAGUUAGAUAUAUACAUUUAGGAAUUAUAAUGAUAACUAUAAGAGCAUGGUUUAGAAAAGGUCAUGAUAUACCAAUAAUUGCAGUUUUAUUAGAUAAAAGAUUUGAGAAUCCAAUAAACGCACUUAUU